Molecule: ribosomal RNA, 253 nt
Filed under: uncultured bacterium
Lineage: Bacteria
Description: partial 16S ribosomal RNA
Rfam family: Bacterial small subunit ribosomal RNA
Source: RNAcentral
UACAGAGGUCUCAAGCGUUGUUCGGAUUCAUUGGGCAUAAAGGGUGCGUAGGUGGCGCCGUAAGUCGGGUGUGAAAUUUCGGAGCUUAACUCCGAAACUGCAUUCGAUACUGCGGUGCUUGAGGACUGGAGAGGAGACUGGAAUUCAUGGUGUAGCAGUGAAAUGCGUAGAGAUCAUGAGGAAGACCAGUGGCGAAGGCGGGUCUCUGGACAGUUCCUGACACUGAGGCACGAAGGCCAGGGGAGCAAACGGG